Xyrauchen texanus (razorback sucker) is the source of this 1381-nucleotide RNA transcript. RefSeq lists it as uncharacterized. The transcript has 4 exons. Lineage: Eukaryota; Metazoa; Chordata; Actinopteri; Cypriniformes; Catostomidae. The record is from RefSeq and is a predicted model, not a curated record.
UCAUCAAUCUUUUCUGUCUGUCUUUUAAACAAAGUUUGUACAUGUUUUAUUCAAGGGCGCAGAAUGGAAUAAAAUGCAACUCAUCUGCUACAUUCAGAUUGACUCUGCUCAGUAAGACAGUGUUGGGGUGUAAUGGACACUAUGCUUCUUGUCUGGACUCUCUCCUUUCUGCUUCUGAGCUAUUCUAUUGGGGUACCCAUCCUCAAUAUGACAAGCAGUGGAUCUGAUAAGGAGUCGUCUCUGAAUGCCACAGAAAUUGACCAGAUAGGAAAUGCCACCAAUUACAACUCUACAGACCCCUGUGAGUAAUAAAUAAAAAAUGACAUUGUUUAUAACUUCACUCCACUGUUCUUUUAACAUGCAGUCUUUCCUCUGCAAGUGUUCACAUUAAGUCACAUUAAGGACAGGCAGAUAACAAUGAAAAAAAAAGGUUAGCAUAGGAUCAACAGCAUCAUUUUUAUCUAAAUCAUACAAAUUCUUCAGCAUCUUUAAGGAAUUUCAUGAAACUCAAAAGACUCUUCAGACCCCAGCUUUCACUUAUCCCAAAUAUCGUGUCUUUUCACAGAAAUAGAACGAGUGGUCGUCAGAGAGUAUCCCAAAGGUUUUGUUUAUUGUCCACCUGUGCCUUGUCGAAACUGGGGUAUUCCCUUCAGAGAGGAGAUGAGACUGCAGGGAACAUGAGCGAUCCAAUGGGAAUCGGCAAGAAAUGAAGGAACGUGUAACAUAAGAUCAGCAUGUUCCUGAAUUAAAAACAGUUUUGACAGUAUAAUAACAGAGGAAGCACUUUGAAUUACAGUGAUGUGUUCUGGGAUUUGGGAUUUGCUGUAGUACUAUUGUUUAAAAACAGUGAUGUUGUUAUUCCAUGGUCAAGAUAUGCUCAAAUUCUGUUUUUAUUAAUAUUGUAAGAUCCCACAAUUCAGUUUUGUUCUUUGUUAAUUUUCUUGUGUAUUCUCUGAAAGUAUAAAGGCCACAGUUUUAAGACCUAUAGUAUGUGUCAUUGUUAAGAGGACAUUCUAUUAGUAUUAAUAUGAUUAUUGCUUGUAUUACAAAUUACCACAAAACAUGUUAAUAUGCAAAUUAGACAUAGACUGAGAAUGCAGUGCUGAUAAUGUUUAGACACAAAUUGUAUAAUAAAUCUAGGAAGUAUAGCACAUAACAUGAGAAGUGUUGGUUCAUUUUUGUUCAGUAGGAGUUGUGAUUUCUGUGCCAAAGAGCUGAACGUAUUUUAAACACUUAUUUAGACAAAUCUCUUGAUGUCCACUAUAGUGUACAUAUAAAUACACUUUAUUUAAAGACAUAUUUUCCUUCUUAUUUAUCAAAAUACCAUAAGAACUGAAAUAAAGUCAAUUUGAAUCAAUGGUCUGUCGCAGUGUUGAAAAGU